Molecule: non-coding RNA, 342 nt
Organism: Coturnix japonica (Japanese quail)
Lineage: Eukaryota; Metazoa; Chordata; Aves; Galliformes; Phasianidae
Source: RefSeq, a predicted model, not a curated record
UUUGCGAUGGUGGCAGUGGCUGAGGGUCCCCUGUAAGCAGGGAAGCAGACUCCUUUGGCCGCUGCUUUUUGUGUGCCCAGCUCCAUUUGCCCAGUCUGCCCGCCUCCGCGAUCCCCUGCAUCGCCGGCUGGAGCCUUCGCAGCGCGCCAGUGAGGAUCUGCUGCUGGAGAAAGAAGACGCAGUGCGGGGAGCCUGGUGGCAGGAGUGUGGUUGAUGGGGUUGCUUUUCACUGUCUUUUUAUCUUGUUAUCAGCUUUUUCUUUGAAAUGCAUGUUUAUAAGUGUGGUUGCUCCCCAUUCCCUUUCCUCACCCCUGUGAAUAAAGUUUUUGUUUUUUUCGUUCA